Molecule: unclassified non-coding RNA, 253 nt
Filed under: uncultured Anaerolineae bacterium
Lineage: Bacteria; Bacillati; Chloroflexota; Anaerolineae
Description: contains 16S-23S intergenic spacer region
Rfam family: Bacterial small subunit ribosomal RNA
Source: RNAcentral
UACGUAGGUGGCGAACGUUAUCCGGAGUUACUGGGCGUAAAGGGUCCGCAGGCGGUCUUGCAGGUCUGACGUGAAAGCUCCUGGCUUAACCAGGAGAGGCCGUUGGAAACCGCAAAACUUGAAUCAUCCAGAGGUCGGUGGAAUUCCCGGUGUAGUGGUGGAAUGCGUAGAGAUCGGGAGGAACCUCGAAAGCGAAGGCAGCCGGCUGGGGAAUGAUUGACGCUGAGGGACGAAAGCGUGGGGAGCGAACAGG